This 254-nucleotide ribosomal RNA is filed under the name uncultured bacterium. RNAcentral describes it as "partial 16S ribosomal RNA". It matches the Rfam family "Bacterial small subunit ribosomal RNA", at positions 524 to 776 of the family's 1533-position model. The record is from RNAcentral.
UACGGGGGGAGCAAGCGUUGUUCGGAUUUACUGGGCGUAAGGGGCGCGUAGGCGGUCAGCACAAGUCAGUUGUGAAAUCUCCGGGCUUAACUCGGAAAGGUCAACUGAUACUGUGCGACUAGAGUGCGGAAGGGGCAACUGGAAUUCUCGGUGUAGCGGUGAAAUGCGUAGAUAUCGAGAGGAAGACCAGUGGCGAAGGCGGGUCUCUGGACAGUUCCUGACACUGAGGCACGAAGGCCAGGGGAGCAAACGGG